GUGCUUCAGCUCCUGGGAAAGAUCCUGGGAGGGAGGUGGCACUGGCUCCCAACCUGUCCUAUAAAUGAGGAGACUCUCCUUGUCCAGGCACAGGCAGAUAUGGGGUCUGUGAAUCAGCACCUGGCUCUUUAAACCUAGAAAGCUUUCAAAAUCAGGCAACCUGGGACUAACUCAGGCCUCAGACUCCGCAUCUCCUGGGCGUGGAGUCGGGAAUCUGGGUGGAAGCUCCAGCUGGAGCCUCGGGGCAGUAACACUGCCAGGCUGGCGGAGCUCGUGCCCUUCAUCACCGUGAACGCCCAGUGGGGCAUCCUCAGCAAGUGCCUGACCUACAGCAAGGCGGCGGCCGACCCGUUCACGUACUCUCUGCUCCGCCGGCCGUUCCGCCAAGUCCUGGCCGGCAUGGUGCACCGGCUGCUGAAGAGAACCCCGCGCCCAGCAUCCACCCAUGACAGCUCUCUGGAUGUGGCCGGCGUGGUGCACCAGCUGCUGAAGAGAACCCCGCGCCCAGCGUCCACCCACAACGGCUCUGUGGACACAGAGAAUGAUUCUUGCUUGCAGCAGACACACUGAGGGCCUGGCAGGGCUCAUCGCCCCCACCUUCUAAGAAGCCCUGUGGAAAGGGCACUGGCCCUGCCACAGAGAUGCCACUGGGGACCCCCAGACACCAGUGGCUUGACUUUGAGCUGAGGCUGAAGUACAGGAGGAGGAGGAGGAGAGGGCCGGAUGUGGGUGUGGACAGCAGGAGUGGCGGAGGAGAGCUCCGGGCUCGGCUGCCUGGCCGCUGGGUGGCCCCGGGACAGUGGCUUUUCCUCUCUGAACCUUAGCUUCCUCACCCUUGUUCUGGGGUAAUGGCGAUGCUUCGAGACAGUGGGUAGGGAAGUGCCCUGUGUGGCAUCUGGUACUCGUGGGCGUGCUGUAAGUGACUGCUGUUCAUGUGGGUGAGGUGGUCACUCUUGC
RNAcentral lists this small RNA (957 nucleotides) under Pan troglodytes (chimpanzee). Its description in RNAcentral is "processed transcript". The record is from RNAcentral. Lineage: Eukaryota; Metazoa; Chordata; Mammalia; Primates; Hominidae.